RNAcentral lists this long non-coding RNA (913 nucleotides) under Mytilus galloprovincialis (Mediterranean mussel). The record is from RNAcentral. Lineage: Eukaryota; Metazoa; Mollusca; Bivalvia; Mytilida; Mytilidae.
UGCUGCAUAUUUCCAUUUUGAAUUUAUCAUACGUUUUAAACCUAUCCCUGAAAAACCUUGCACUUGGAUAAUAUUAGUAUAAACACCAUGUCUAUUUGUGCCAACCUUCCAAAUUUUUAAUAUUUUGCUAUCCUAAUUUGGAACAGAUCCUUUAUCCUCAAAACUUAUCAGGGGAAGUAGGCGUGUUUGUAUGGUAGUUCGUCACACCUUACAUGUAUGAUUACUAGCCUCCAGGUAUUGGUUUGAGCCCUAGUUGGGCAGUUGCAAAAUUAAGGUUUGAUUUUCAUGUCAUAUGUGAUAAGGUUAGUCAGUUUCCUCCCACAGGUUGGCAUUUUCCUUCAAGUACUACGGUUUAGUACGGCACUAAAACUGACUGCCAUGAAAUUACCCAUAUGGUGUAGAAAGUGAUGUUUAUAAAACCAAAGCAAACAAUCAAAGUUUUAAAUCUUUGUCCAUUUGUACAAGGAGCCGUAGUGGUUGAGCCAUUUAACUUAUGGUAAUUUUACCAAACUGUGACCACAACUUCAAGAUGUGACAUCAGGCCUCUGUUCAAUGGGCAGUCCCACAAUAAAAGUUCAAUUUUCACGUCAUACAUUUUAUAUGGUUAAUUUGUCAGUUUCCUGCCUCAGUUCUGUGUUUUUUUCUGGGUACUUUGGUUAACUUUGCCAAUAAAACUGACUGUCUUACAUGAAAUUAUCCAUAUGAUGUAGAAUGUGACAUUGAUGGUUGACCCCUUUCAAAGAAACCACCAGCAUGUACACACAACAAUGCUGCAAUGCUUUAGACAACAUUGAUCUAGAGACUUCAUGAUUUACAUGUAUAAGGCUUUUAAAUGUAAAAAAAAAAAAAAAAAAAAAAAUCCCUACCUACCUACCCACCUGCUGAUAGUGUGGGUCGGCAAUGCCAAACAAAC